RNAcentral lists this ribosomal RNA (330 nucleotides) under uncultured bacterium. Its description in RNAcentral is "bacterial SSU rRNA". It matches the Rfam family "Bacterial small subunit ribosomal RNA", at positions 568 to 898 of the family's 1533-position model. The record is from RNAcentral.
CGCGCAGGCGGUCCUUUAAGUCAGGGGUGAAAGCCCAGAGCUCAACUCUGGAACUGCCUUUGAAACUAGAGGACUUGGGUACGGGAGAGGUGAGUGGAAUUCCGAGUGUAGAGGUGAAAUUCGUAGAUAUUCGGAAGAACACCAGUGGCGAAGGCGGCUCACUGGCCCGUUACCGACGCUCAGGCGCGACAGCGUGGGGAGCAAACAGGAUUAGAUACCCUGGUAGUCCACGCCGUAAACGAUGGAUGCUAGCCGUUGGUAAGCAUGCUUAUCAGUGGCGCAGCUAACGCAUUAAGCAUCCCGCCUGGGGAGUACGGCCGCAAGGUUGAA